Molecule: ribosomal RNA, 497 nt
Filed under: Eimeria punoensis
Lineage: Eukaryota; Apicomplexa; Conoidasida; Eucoccidiorida; Eimeriidae
Description: SSU rRNA
Rfam family: Eukaryotic small subunit ribosomal RNA
Source: RNAcentral
AAUUCCAGCUCCAAUAGUGUAUAUUAGAGUUGUUGCAGUUAAAAAGCUCGUAGUUGGAUUUCUGCUGUGGUCAUCCGGUACCGCCCGUAUGGGUGCGCACCUGGUUUGGCUGCGGCUUUCUUCCUGUAGCCGUCCACGCUUAAUUGCGUGUGUUUGCGUUACGGAACUUUUACUUUGAGAAAAAUAGAGUGUUUCAAGCAGGCUUGUCGCCCUGAAUACUUCAGCAUGGAAUAAUAGGAUAGGACCUUGGUUCUAUUUUGUUGGUUUCUAGGACCAAGGUAAUGAUUAAUAGGGACAGUUGGGGGCAUUCGUAUUUAACUGUCAGAGGUGAAAUUCUUAGAUUUGUUAAAGACGAACUACUGCGAAAGCAUUUGCCAAGGAUGUUUUCAUUAAUCAAGAACGACAGUAGGGGGUUUGAAGACGAUUAGAUACCGUCGUAAUCUCUACCAUAAACUAUGCCGACUAGAGAUAGGGAAACGCCUACCUUGCUUCUCCUG